UGAGGAAUUUUCCGCAAUGGGCGAAAGCCUGACGGAGCAAUACCGCGUGAGGGAGGAAGGUUCUUGGAUUGUAAACCUCUUUUCUCAGAGAAGAAUAAUGACGGUAUCUGAGGAAUAAGCAUCGGCUAACUCCGUGCCAGCAGCCGCGGUAAUACGGAGGAUGCAAGCGUUAUCCGGAAUGAUUGGGCGUAAAGGGUCUGUAGGUGGUUGUUCAAGUCUGCUGUUAAAGCGUCUGGCUUAACCAGAUAAAGGCGGUGGAAACUGAACGACUAGAGUGCGGUAGGGGUAGAGGGAAUUCCCAGUGUAGCGGUGAAAUGCGUAGAUCUUGGGAAGAACACCUGUGGCGAAAGCGCUCUACUGGACCGCGACUGACACUGAUGGACGAAAGCUAGGGGAGCGAAUGGGAUUAGAUACCCCAGUAGUCCUAGCCGUAAACGAUGGAUACUAGGCGUUGCCCGUAUCGACCCGGGCAGUGUCGUAGCUAACGCGUUAAGUAUCCCGCCUGGGGAGUACGCACGCAA
RNAcentral lists this ribosomal RNA (521 nucleotides) under uncultured bacterium. RNAcentral's name for it is "bacterial SSU rRNA". It matches the Rfam family "Bacterial small subunit ribosomal RNA", at positions 355 to 891 of the family's 1533-position model. The record is from RNAcentral.